AGAGUUUGAUCCUGGCUCAGAACGAACGUUGGCGGCGUGGAUUAGGCAUGCAAGUCGUACGAGAAAACUCCCUUCGGGGAGCGAGUAAAGUGGCGAACGGGUGAGUAACACGUGGGGAACCUGCCCUCGAGUUGGGGAUAACAUUCCUAACGGAGUGCUAAUACCGAAUAACACGUUUGGGUCGCAUGGCCCGGACGUCAAAGCUGGCCUCUACUUGUAAGCUAGCACUUGAGGAUGGCCCCGCGGCCCAUUAGCUUGUUGGUGGGGUAACGGCCCACCAAGGCUGCGAUGGGUAGCUGGUCUGAGAGGAUGGUCAGCCACACUGGGACUGAGAUACGGCCCAGACUCCUACGGGAGGCAGCAGUCGAGAGGCUUCGGCAAUGGGGGCAACCCUGACCGAGCGACGCCGCGUGGGUGAUGAAGGCCUUACGGUCGUAAAGCCCUGUCAGAGGGGAAGAAACGCCAUGGUGCUAAUACCAUCGUGGCCUGACGUUACCCUCAAAGGAAGCUCCGGCUAACUCCGUGCCAGCAGCCGCGGUAACACGGGGGGAGCGAACGUUGUUCGGAAUCACUGGGCGUAAAGGGCGCGCAGGCGGCCUGGUAAGUGGGAUGUGAAAGCCCCUGGCUCAAUCAGGGAACUGCAUCUCAGACUGCCGGGCUUGAGGACGGGAGAGGAAACGGGAAUUCCCGGUGUAGCGGUGACAUGCACUGAUAUCGGGAGGAACACCAGUGGCGAAGGCGCGUUUCUGGCCCGCUCCUGACGCUCAGGCGCGAAAGCUGGGGGAGCAAACAGGAUUAGAUACCCUGGUAGUCCCAGCCGUAAACGGUGGACACUAGGUGUGGGGGGCAUCGACCCCUUCCGUGCCGUAGCUAACGCAUUAAGUGUCCCGCCUGGGGAGUACGAUCGCAAGGUUGAAACUCAAAGGAAUUGACGG
This 935-nucleotide ribosomal RNA is filed under the name uncultured Latescibacterota bacterium. Its description in RNAcentral is "bacterial SSU rRNA". It matches the Rfam family "Bacterial small subunit ribosomal RNA", at positions 8 to 916 of the family's 1533-position model. Lineage: Bacteria; Pseudomonadati; Candidatus Latescibacterota. The record is from RNAcentral.